GAUGAACGCUAGCGGCAGGCCUAAUACAUGCAAGUCGAACGGUAAGGCCCUUUCGGGGGUACACGAGUGGCGGACGGGUGCGUAACGCGUAUGCAACAUGCCUUCCAGCGGGGGAUAUACCAGGGAAACUUGGCGCAAUACCCCAUAGAAUUACGGGACCGCAUGGUCUUGUGAUUAAAACUCCGGUGCUGGGAGAUUGGCAUGCGUGACAUUAGCUAGUUGGCGGGGUAACGGCCCACCAAGGCGACGAUGUCUAGCUGGUCUGAGAGGAUGAUCAGCCACACUGGGACUGAGACACGGCCCAGACUCCUACGGGAGGCAGCAGUAGGGAAUAUUGGACAAUGGGGGGAACCCUGAUCCAGCAAUGCCGCGUGUGUGAAGAAGGCCUGCGGGUUGUAAAGCACUUUCAGUAGGGAAGAUUAUGACGGUACCUACAGAAGAAGCACCGGCUAACUCCGUG
This 460-nucleotide ribosomal RNA is filed under the name uncultured bacterium. RNAcentral's name for it is "bacterial SSU rRNA". It matches the Rfam family "Bacterial small subunit ribosomal RNA", at positions 28 to 507 of the family's 1533-position model. The record is from RNAcentral.